CACGCCCUAAACGAUGUCAAUUAGCUGUUGGGCAACUUGAUUGCUUAGUAGCGUAGCUAACGCGUGAAAUUGACCGCCUGGGGAGUACGGUCGCAAGAUUAAAACUCAAAGGAAUUGACGGGGACCCGCACAAGCGGUGGAUGAUGUGGAUUAAUUCGAUGCAACGCGAAGAACCUUACCUGGUCUUGACAUGUACGGAAGACUGCAGAGACGCAGUUGUGCCUUCGGGAACCGUAACACAGGUGC
This 246-nucleotide ribosomal RNA is filed under the name uncultured bacterium. Its description in RNAcentral is "partial 16S ribosomal RNA". It matches the Rfam family "Bacterial small subunit ribosomal RNA", at positions 796 to 1041 of the family's 1533-position model. The record is from RNAcentral.